RNAcentral lists this transfer RNA (26 nucleotides) under uncultured Alteromonadaceae bacterium. Its description in RNAcentral is "tRNA-Ile". The record is from RNAcentral. Lineage: Bacteria; Pseudomonadati; Pseudomonadota; Gammaproteobacteria; Alteromonadales; Alteromonadaceae.
UUGGACCCGAAAUCCUAAUGAAUAUU